Molecule: small nucleolar RNA, 93 nt
Organism: Ictidomys tridecemlineatus (thirteen-lined ground squirrel)
Lineage: Eukaryota; Metazoa; Chordata; Mammalia; Rodentia; Sciuridae
Gene: SNORD83B
Product: small nucleolar RNA, C/D box 83B
Source: Ensembl
GCUGUUCUGUGAUCAGGCCUAGAAUGUGUACUGGGCGCUGGAGUCAGACAAGGAACCAUUCCCUGUUAUCUUCCUUCUGAGAAACCCUGCAGU